Long non-coding RNA from Pistacia vera, 1206 nucleotides. RefSeq lists it as uncharacterized. NCBI's taxonomy places the organism in Eukaryota, Viridiplantae, Streptophyta, Magnoliopsida, Sapindales, Anacardiaceae. The record is from RefSeq and is a predicted model, not a curated record. The transcript is spliced from 4 exons.
UGGAAGGGACCAAAUAAAAUAUCAUAAACACAACACUAAAUCUGCAACACUUUCCUUGCAAAACUUUCCAUAUCUCCAGCCAUUUUCUUGAGCUCUUGAUUUCUUCAUGCUUCGAAGAAAGAAGAAAAUCUGUUUCUUAAGAUGGUGUGGCUACCAAAUCCUCAUCUAUCCUUCAAUCUUCCUUUUUGAGGCUGCUAGUUUUGGUAAAACAAACAUUGAACCAACGGCGUAUUCGGGAGUUUUAUUGGGUAAUUGUUAAGGAAUGGGAGGAGUUGGCAAGAUAAUUUUACAGAUACAGCAUGCAAUUUCAAUUUGCUCGUAUUGAAAGCUGGUGGUGGUUCCACUAAAAGUGUUUAGCUAAACAAAGGAGCUCACGGGAAGAGAAAAUGGGGGUAUAAUUAUAGCCCAAUUUAAGAAAUAUUCAAAAGGGCAUUGAAAAAUGAUUAUUGAACUCGAUGAACACAAGACAGGCGCAUACAAAUAUGAAGAAUGAUGUGAACUCGCGCGAUGAACGCACGAUGGGCUGGACAAAUGCUUUAUCAAUGUCAGAUUUCAUUCCGCGUUAAGGCAAACAUGAGUCAACUUCAACAUAAUUACACGUCUACCACAUUCCUAUUCAUGGUAAUUAAUUCUCUUUAAGAAAGUCACCUCUAGUGGUGUUGAACAACUGGCUGGCCAUCGUUUUUCUAACGCCUUAGUUAUCUUCCCCAAGCCUUUCACGUUUCUUACUUUUGCUGUGAUGUUAUGCUACUUUCAUAUAAUCUGACGGUUGAAGUAGGUCCGGUUCGGGUUCAUGUGAUCUAACCGUCGAUUUGGGUUCAAUACUUUUAAACUCUUCAUGUGGCUCAUAAAUAUUUGUUUCUCCUUUGACCCUUUUAAUGUCAAUUGAAUUCCACUUUCCUUUUCUCUCUUAAGAUACAGCUUGCAAUUUCAAUUUCAUUGUAUUGAAAGCUGGUGCUGGUUCCACUAAAAAUGUUUGGCUAAAUAAGGGAGCUCACGAGCAGAGAAAUGGCGUUUGUUUGGGGUAUAAUUAAUUAUAGCCCGAUUUAAGAAAUAUUCGAAAGGGCAUUGAAAAAUGAUUCCACCUCAGUGCGGCCUGUUCUGGUGUAGUUUUCACCUUUGGCUAAUGAAAAUAUUUGAUUGUGAACGUUCAAGAAAAAGCAAAAGCCUAUUUUAUUUUGGAUGCUUUUGUGUUUGAGAACUGAA